This is a long non-coding RNA of Ictalurus punctatus (channel catfish), 308 nucleotides long. The record is from Ensembl. Lineage: Eukaryota; Metazoa; Chordata; Actinopteri; Siluriformes; Ictaluridae.
AUGGUAAGGUGUACUAUGCUGUGUUGUGUUAUGAUAUGGUAAGGUGUGCUGUGUUGUGUUGUGGUAUGGUAAGGUGUUCUGUGCUGUGUUAUGGUAAGGGGUGGUAAGGUGUUCUGUGUUGUGUUGUGGUAUGGUAAGGUGUGCUGUGUUGUGUUGUGUUGUGGUAUGGUAAGGUGUGCUGUGUUGUGUUGUGGUAUGGUAAGGUGUUCUGUGUUGUGUUGUGGUAUGGUAAGGUGUUCUGUGUUGUAUUGUGGUAUGGUAAGGUGUGCUGUGUUGUGUUAUGAUAUGAUAUGGUAAGGUGUGUUGUG